This 401-nucleotide ribosomal RNA is filed under the name uncultured bacterium. Its description in RNAcentral is "bacterial SSU rRNA". It matches the Rfam family "Bacterial small subunit ribosomal RNA", at positions 355 to 773 of the family's 1533-position model. The record is from RNAcentral.
UGGGGAAUUUUGCGCAAUGGGGGAAACCCUGACGCAGCAACGCCGCGUGGAGGAUGAAGUCCUUCGGGACGUAAACUCCUUUCGAUCGGGACGAUUAUGACGGUACCGGAAGAAGAAGCCCCGGCUAACUUCGUGCCAGCAGCCGCGGUAAUACGAGGGGGGCGAGCGUUGUUCGGAAUUAUUGGGCGUAAAGGGUGCGUAGGCGGUUUGGUAAGUCUGAUGUGAAAUCUAUGGGCUCAACUCAUAGUCUGCAUCGGAAACUGCCGGGCUUGAGUAUGGGAGAGGUGAGUGGAAUUCCUGGUGUAGCGGUGAAAUGCGUAGAUAUCAGGAGGAACACCUGUGGCGAAAGCGGCUCACUGGUCCGGUACUGACGCUGAGGCGCGAAAGCGUGGGGAGCAAAC